Long non-coding RNA from Vitis riparia (riverbank grape), 694 nucleotides. RefSeq lists it as uncharacterized. The transcript is spliced from 2 exons. The record is from RefSeq and is a predicted model, not a curated record. Lineage: Eukaryota; Viridiplantae; Streptophyta; Magnoliopsida; Vitales; Vitaceae.
ACCCCCUAUCUCUCUCCCUUUCUCUCUCUCUUUCUCUCUCUUAUUUACUGUUACUCCCUUCAUCACACCUUAAAUAGAACCCAACUGCCCCUUCUUCAUAUCUCCAAUAUUUGUAUUAUAACUCUUUUCUCUCUCCCUCCGACCUUUCUCUCUCUUUCUCUCUCUCCCUCUGCCUGUGUUUUCAAUGGUGGAUGAAUACAAGGACGCUGUUUCUUUCAUAUGGGUUUGACAAAGGGUUUCUCACAGAGUUUAUUGGCAUUCUGUCCACCUCCCAUCUCUUGAAAAUCUCUCUUUUCUCUCUGUGGAGGUGGGCAUACUGCCAACCAAGCUCUGUUGGACUCUCUUUGUAAAACCCUCGUGAUACCCCCCAACACCAUGUCCAAUCUCUCUCGCUUUUCCACUCUAGAGCAUCAAGGGGUUUCAGCAACUCCUCCUCUUUGCCUCUUUCAAGCCAAGCCAUGAAGGGUUCACGAUCAGGGCAAACCCAGAUGCCAUCAAGCCUUUUUCUACAUCUCACAGCCACAAAAGAGGCGGAAAUUAAUGAAAGAAGAGACUGUUCUUCCUCUGAAACCGGAGGCUCCAGUUUCGCUUUGGAAAAACCUCCCUUGUAUUGAUUGUAUUUUUGUGUAAUAUUUGGUCUGAUCAUCAGUUUCUCUGAAGAGUUUUUAAUGUUCAUGGCUUCAUCUUCUUCAUG